AUGAACGCUGGCGGCGUGCCUAAUACAUGCAAGUCGAGCGAACAGACGAGGAGCUUGCUCCUCUGACGUUAGCGGCGGACGGGUGAGUAACACGUGGAUAACCUACCUAUAAGACUGGGAUAACUUCGGGAAACCGGAGCUAAUACCGGAUAACAUGUUGAAUCGCAUGGUUCAACAGUGAAAGACGGUUUUGCUGUCACUUAUAGAUGGAUCCGCGUCGCAUUAGCUAGUUGGUAAGGUAACGGCUUACCAAGGCAACGAUGCGUAGCCGACCUGAGAGGGUGAUCGGCCACACUGGAACUGAGACACGGUCCAGACUCCUACGGGAGGCAGCAGUAGGGAAUCUUCCGCAAUGGGCGAAAGCCUGACGGAGCAACGCCGCGUGAGUGAAGAAGGUCUUCGGAUCGUAAAACUCUGUUAUUAGGGAAGAACAAAUGUGUAAGUAACUAUGCACGUCUUGACGGUACCUAAUCAGAAAGCCACGGCUAACUACGUG
This 496-nucleotide ribosomal RNA is filed under the name uncultured bacterium. Its description in RNAcentral is "partial 16S ribosomal RNA". It matches the Rfam family "Bacterial small subunit ribosomal RNA", at positions 29 to 507 of the family's 1533-position model. The record is from RNAcentral.